CCUACGGGGUGCAGCAGUGAGGAAUAUUGGUCAAUGGACGAGAGUCUGAACCAGCCAAGUAGCGUGAAGGAUGACUGCCCUAUGGGUUGUAAACUUCUUUUAUAAAGGAAUAAAACGAGGCACGUGUGCCUUUUUGCAUGUACUUUAUGAAUAAGGAUCGGCUAACUCCGUGCCAGCAGCCGCGGUAAUACGGAGGAUCCGAGCGUUAUCCGGAUUUAUUGGGUUUAAAGGGAGCGUAGGUGGGUUGUUAAGUCAGUUGUGAAAGUCUGCGGCUCAACCGUAAAAUUGCAAUUGAUACUGGCAGUCUAGAGUACAGUUGAGGUAGGCGGAAUUCGUGGUGUAGCGGUGAAAUGCUUAGAUAUCACGAAGAACCCCGAUUGCGAAGGCAGCUUACUAAACUGUGACUGACAUUGAUGCUCGAAAGUGUGGGUAUCAAACAGGAUUAGAUACCCCAGUAGUC
RNAcentral lists this ribosomal RNA (460 nucleotides) under uncultured bacterium. RNAcentral describes it as "partial 16S ribosomal RNA". It matches the Rfam family "Bacterial small subunit ribosomal RNA", at positions 338 to 795 of the family's 1533-position model. The record is from RNAcentral.